GAAAGAUUGCCUCUGCAAAUCAACCCACGUUAGUUCUAGAAAAUUCUAUGAAGAAUACUUCAACAAAAUCCCAAGGCAAAGUUCGCCAGACAGUUGGUUCCAAGCUUCCAACACCAGGAACUCCUCGCCGACUAGGGGAUGGAUCAGCAAUCAGCCAAAAGCCACAGGCACAACCUCUACCCGAAUGGAAUAGAGGAAACGGCCUUGAUGAGGCUGUUGACUUGGCUGAAAUGUUGCGACUGCAAUCACAAGAUUGGUUUUUGGGGUUUGUGGAGAGGUUCCUGGAUGCUGAUGUGGACACUUCAGCUCUGUCAGAUAAUGGUCAAAUAGCAGGAAUGCUAACACAGCUCAAGAGUGUGAAUGAUUGGUUGGAUGAUAUUGGUUCUAGUAAAGAUGAAGCAGAAACAAACGCUGUUUCAGCUGAAACCAUUGAGAGGCUAAGGAAGAAGAUCUACGAGUAUCUUCUUACCCAUGUUGAAUCUGCUGCCGCUGCCCUUGGUGGCGGAUCACAGUCAUCACCACGAAUUCGAACAACAGAUACAAAAGUAAGAAAGUGAAUCAAUUAAACCCUAGUUUGGUCGUGUGUGUUUUGGUGUCUGCGGUUGCAUAAAUACAGUGGCAAGCCCUGGAAGCUGUGCCCUCAACCACCAACUUGUCCUAGGAGCUCAGGCCGUUGAUCUAUGUACAUAACUUCACAUGGGUUUGAGGAGGUAUAGAUGGAAGGGUUGUUACUUACAAGAGAGAAUUUGAUUUGAAGUGCAAGGUGUCAUUUCUUUUUUCCAUCGUUUAAUUCAAUUGUUACCUGAAAUUAUACAAGUUUGAAAAAAAUUGGGGAGCGGGGAAUUUUUUGGUUCUUAUAGCAUCCUUGUGAGCAUUAGAGAUUCUUUUUCAAUCUACACAAUUAAUCAGUUAGCUUUGCCAUUUUUUCUCUUUUGAGAAAAUUACUUUUUUUUCAGUAAAUUACUUUUUUAACUUAACCUUUUGUUUUCCAUGUAAAUUUUCUUCAAAUUUUAAAAAAUGUAAUGGCAACCAUGGAAGUGGCCAUUUAUCAUGACAGAGAAAUACCAAGAG
RNAcentral lists this long non-coding RNA (1071 nucleotides) under Prunus dulcis (almond). RNAcentral describes it as "sRNA ncRNA". The record is from RNAcentral. Lineage: Eukaryota; Viridiplantae; Streptophyta; Magnoliopsida; Rosales; Rosaceae.